CCUCAUACAGGGGGAGUAACAGUUAGAAAUGACUGCUAAUACCGCAUAAGACCACAGUACCGCAUGGUACAGUGAUCAAAGGAUUUAUUCGCUGAAGGAUGGCUUCGCGUCCGAUUAGGUAGUUGGUGAGGUAACGGCCCACCAAGCCUACGAUCGGUAGCCGGACUGAGAGGUUGAUCGGCCACAUUGGGACUGAGACACGGCCCAGACCCCUACGGGAGGCAGCAUG
Molecule: ribosomal RNA, 229 nt
Filed under: uncultured bacterium
Lineage: Bacteria
Description: partial 16S ribosomal RNA
Rfam family: Bacterial small subunit ribosomal RNA
Source: RNAcentral